GACAGAGGGUGCAAACGUUGUUCGGAAUUACUGGGCGUAAAGCGUGUGUAGGCGGCUCCGCAAGUCGGAUGUGAAAGCCCCGGGCUCAACCCGGGAAGUGCACCCGAUACUGCGAAGCUCGAGUACCGGAGAGGUUGGUGGAAUUCUCGGUGUAGAGGUGAAAUUCGUAGAUAUCGAGAGGAACACCGGUGGCGAAGGCGGCCAACUGGACGGAUACUGACGCUGAGACACGAAAGCGUGGGGAGCAAACAGG
RNAcentral lists this ribosomal RNA (253 nucleotides) under uncultured bacterium. RNAcentral's name for it is "partial 16S ribosomal RNA". It matches the Rfam family "Bacterial small subunit ribosomal RNA", at positions 524 to 776 of the family's 1533-position model. The record is from RNAcentral.